UGGUGGUUUUGUAAGGGUCUGUGGAGUACAAAAAGUCCGAAAUGGUAGCAGCUAUGGUGGAGGUUCAGUAGGAGGUCCAGCAGGGCAAUGCUGGGUGGCUGAUCUUGGAUUAAGUUUUGUCUUCUACAGGGGCACCAGGAGGAGUCACGAUUCAGGUGGAGAACUAACCAGAGGUGCCUCCACAUGUGGAAAAUGGUUUCGCAUAGAUUUAGAGCCAAGGGGUGCAGGGAUAGGUGUCUGAUUCCAGCACCAGCGGUAGUGACGCAUUCCUAGAUUUAUGUAGGAUUGCAAGCACCGUGGAUCGAGGCUUUGGGGAGACCA
This 321-nucleotide long non-coding RNA is filed under the name Elaeis guineensis (African oil palm). RNAcentral's name for it is "long non-coding RNA (EGUI_LNC059447)". Lineage: Eukaryota; Viridiplantae; Streptophyta; Magnoliopsida; Arecales; Arecaceae. The record is from RNAcentral.